RNA transcript from Bactrocera neohumeralis, 8976 nucleotides. RefSeq lists it as uncharacterized. NCBI's taxonomy places the organism in Eukaryota, Metazoa, Arthropoda, Insecta, Diptera, Tephritidae. The record is from RefSeq and is a predicted model, not a curated record. The transcript is spliced from 5 exons.
UUACUAAAUAAUAAUAAUAUUAUUAAUUCUUGAAUAACUUUUGAAAAUCUGCUCCGAAACUUAUUUGUUUUUCAAUUCCAUAAAUUAUGAUUGUUCAUGAGUGGAAAAGCUGUGAGUUUUUCGACCUUGUGUUAUUAUCCAGUUGUUGUAAAGUUAACGUACAAUCAGAAAUAGUUGCACAUUGCGCGAAUGGAAAUGUCUAUAUUUUCUGUGAGGUGUUGGGUUUCAUUCAUGUUUACUUCAGAAACUCUUGGACCAUUAGUUUUCGUUACCAAUGCUCUGAGCUUCGAUUCUGCGCUCUCACAACUAAUAACGAACUCUUGGUUUUAGUAGCUGAGGAACAAUCAUCUAAAAAAAUUCGUGUGGAAGUGUUAAACCUAGCAAAGCUUAGUAAGCGUGAAGGCGCUCCAUGUGUGGCUUCAGCAGUUCUAAAUCAGUAUGGACGUGUAACAACAAUCCGCACAUGCUUAUUAAAAGAUUAUUUAUGCAUUUCUAUUGGAUUGGAUAAUGGAAAUUUAUUAAUUCAUCGUUCGGUUAUGAGUAAGGAUAUGUCAUCUAAUUUUUUUUGUAUUUCAACUGGUAAAUGCAGCAUCAUCGGUAUAGAAUUUCAAUAUAGGAAAGAUUCCCUAUAUUUAUUUGUAUGUUCGGAAGAAAGAGUUGGUUUGUAUAAUAUAUUGGAUAAUAAUAUUAGUGCCGAACAAAAUUUGGAAUAUAUUUCGACUAUAAGUUCUAGUUCAAUUCUAUAUAAUUCAGAAAAUUCAUUUUUCUUGGUCGGCAGAGAGGAUGCCCUUUAUUGUUUUACCAUAGAUGGAAGAGGUCCUUGUUACGCCAUUGGUGGGAAAAAAAAAUAUAUUACUUGUCUAAAUAAUAAUAUUGUCAUAUUAAUUGAAUCUGAAGACAGUAGCCGUAGUUAUAUAAUAAUAAUAGAUACAUAUAACAAGGCUAUUGUUUUUCAAAAGGAAAUUCCAAACUUAAACAAAGAUAUAUUGGUAUCCAAUGACAUAUCCUGUUACAUUUUGAUGCGUAAUGCGAUUUACAUUACUAAGGAACGAAGUCUUCUUAACAAAAUAUUAACGUUAAUGAAUAAUAAUUUUUUUGAUCUUGCUUUAAGCCUUUGUGAGAAAAAAAAAGCUUUUGUUGGUUGUAUUUUGUUGACUUCUGGAGAUUACCUACUGUCUAAAGGUGACUCGAUAACUGCUACGUCGAAAUAUAAGGAAACGAUAGGCAUAAUAGAUCCCUACUUCAUCAUAAAGAGACUUUUAAAUGCAGAAUACAGUUAUCACUUAUCGUAUUACAUAAAUUAUUUUGUAAAUGUUAAUAAUACUUCAAAUACUCAAAUGGAACUUAUGAAAAGUUGUAAUAUAAGAAAUAACUUGUGUUUUAACUCUAGUACAGAUGUCGUCUCCUAUGAAAGUGAAUUUUCUAAAAACUGUUUUAGCGGUACAACAAUUUGUACAUUGUCGGAAUCCUAUGAGGAUGAAUUGUAUUAUGCGAUAACAAACCAGCCUAUGAUAAUUUCGAAACAUUGGAAAAAUAUUUUUGCUUUGCUUAAGGUGUCAAAAAAUCCUAUACGUUAUAUAUCACCUUUAAUUAAUACACAAGCAAAUUGUAUUGAAUAUUUGGAAUACUUAAUAUCUGUCCAUAAUAAAUUGGUUGUAUUUGACGUUCUCCUAGAAUUACAUUUGCUUGAAUGGUACUGUGAAAGAAAAAAUAUUUCACCUAUAUUAAAUUUUUUAAACAAAAAUUCUGGAGCAUAUUCGGAACAAAUUUUAAUACACUUUGUAAAUUAUUCGUUCUGGCCAGGAGUUGUUUACUUGUGUGAAAAUUUUAAAAUGUUACAAAUGUAUUUUAGAUAUUGCAUUAAGUAUAAUGAUUUAGAUAAUGCCAAUGUAAAGAAAAUAAGUAUUAUGAGUAAAAAUAUUAGUUUGCAGGCAAUAGAUAUAAUGAAAUGUAGUUCGCAAAUCGCAAAAGUUCAUUUAGACCGUAUAAUAACAAAUAUGCUUGAUGAAAAUAAGCAAAAUAUACUGGCACUAGUUCAAGCAAUAUCGGUUGCAAAAAUUUUUAAUGUAAUUCACCUAAAGCAACUAUUUUGCAAAAGGCAAUCAGACUACAAAACAAAAUCAUGUAUCGGUGUUAAAGUUAUGGUUAAUUCUCUGCGCACUUUUAUUGCUUCCUUAUCUAGUUUUAGAUUGUGUCCAAUUGAAUUUAGAAACAGUGUGUGCGCUAUUUGUAAAUGUAAGCUAAGUCUACCUUCUAUUUAUUUUUUAUGUCAACACGCUUGCCAUUUAGAAUGUGUUGACCACAGUUCAAGCGAUAAAUUUUGUCCUAAGUGUUUAGAUCCAAAAAAGUCAAUCAAUGAAUAUAAAAUCGAAAUAGAACAAAUUAAAUGGACUAUGCCUUAUACAAUGACAACAGUUUCUUUUUUAUUUUCAAAAAAAUGUUUAAACACUUCUAGCUAAUAAUUUUAUACAUUAUAUGUUUUUUUUAAUAAUUAAAGAAUAUAUAUAAUUUGUUACUGUGAUUAUUUUAGAGUAAUAUGCAAUAAUUUGUGAGUGCCGUGCGUUAAACUUAGGACAUAAAGUGAUGCAAAAAACUAAUUAAGUACAAAAAGAAAGAAUUCCGAAACCAUCAAAUCGCGGCGCUGAAAGAAUCGUAAUCGUGCCGGGAACCAUAUCAGGAACGGACCCUGGUUUCAAUUCGGCUAAUGACUAUCAACUCGGCAGCAUUCUUUAAAACUUCAGGAAUAUUUUCUACCUUUAAUAAUUUGCGAGUUCGUUCCCUGUAUGCAUUAAUACAAUAUUAUCAAUUAUUCCUGAAUAAGUGAUAAUCAAACAUAUAAUAUAUUAUUUUUUUAUAAGCACAUUUUGUCAUAUUUCGUUAUUGAAUGCAAUGAAGACGAUAAAAUAUAUAGAGAAAUAUGUUAUAUAAAUCUUUAUACAUAAUAUUAUGUUAUAACUAUUGGUAUCUCAUCUUUUAUUAAAAUAAAAAGUAAUUGAAUUAUAGAAAGGCCAAAAAAUGUAUCCUCAAAUAUACCUGAAUACUUUGUGUAUCGUUUUUUUGUGCAUAGUAUGCUUAAAAGAAUGCGGACACUAAAGAUUAAUUUAUUCUUGGUCGUAAGAAACUAUAUUCUAUAUGGACAAGUUUCCCAGUAGAUGGAGUAGUACGUAAUUAACCCCUACAAGACAAACAUGCAUUUUUCUCAAGAGUAUCUCAUACCUCUGCGCUAAUUGUUAAUCCAAUAUUGUUUAGGGGUUACUAUUAAUGAAUUUGGAGAAGUAUAUAAAUAUUGAGUUAUAUGCGAAUUAACAGGACUCCCCAGUGUUUGGCCAAAAUUACACUAACUUGCAUCAUUUUGUGACUAUCUAAUCAGUUAUUGCUCGUUUUAAAAAUUAAGGCAGUGUAGAAAAAAUCUGGACGACCUUCAAUUCUCGCGGAUGACAGUCAGCUUAAAAUCAAGCAAUUGGUCACAGCAGAUCCAUUCGUAACUGCCCAAGAAAUCACUACACAGCUUCAUUAAUUCAGUAAAAAAAAAAGAUAUUCUCUAAACUGAGCGAAAAGUAUCAUUAAUGCUAUGUUUAAAUCUCACAAGCCUCGUCGAAAACCACUCGAAAACAUAAUAAACCGUAGAAAACACAUUGACUUCGCUAAAAAAAUGCAUCUUGUGUUUUGGCGGAAUUUUUUACUCUCUGAUGGAUGUAAAUGUAACAUUUUAGGAUGUAAUGCAAAGUUAAAGUAUAGAGGAUAUCAAGAAGUAUACAACUCCAAAAAUACUAUUAAAUUAGUAAAGCACGGAAGUGAUAGAGUGAUGUUGUUGUUGUUGUUGUUGUUUUAACGGAAAUUUAAUCCCCGUUGGGAUGGUAAAUGUUAUUUGUGUUGUCGUCGAUGUCAUCUAACGGUAGGCCCAAGAAACGUGCUGUUUCGACGGGGUCGGACCAAAGGGUGGAGGGUGUUAGAUGGGUAGGGUUUGUAGGGCAUGCAAAGAGGUGGUCAGUGUCAUGCGGAGACUCGUUGCAUGCAGGACAUACAUUAGGUAUAUCAGGGUCUAUUCUGGAUAAGUAGGAGUUUAACCUGCUACAGUAUCCAGAACGAAGUUGCGCAAGGGUAACACGCGUUUCUCGCGGCAGCUGGAGCUCUUCGUCUGCGAUGGGUGGUGGUUUGACUCCAAGAACGCCAUUCACGGGAAGGGAGUCGGUGAAGGUGUUGAUGGCUCCGCUGUGGAUGGCGGUCAGUACCUGUCGAAAGUUAGUUGCGUCCGAAGUCCGGUCGGCGUACUGUACGACGUCGUCGACGUAAUCCAGGAAUGACCUUUUGAUGCUCCUAGGAGGCGGUUCCGCUCCAAGCAGAUGACUGCAGGGGUGAUUUCUGCGAAAGCAUCCCAGCAGGAACUGCCUGGAGAGGAGUUCAUUAUGCUCCUUAACUGGGAGCAUAAGCGUCUCACUGUGGAGGUGUUCAACGGGAAACUGUAGUUUCCUCAUCUGCGUACCACUGCAUCCAGGCGACCAUAUGGGGGCUGCGUAAUUGAGGACCGGCCGGCCGAUUGCCUUGUAUGUUGCCAACAACGUUUCUUUGUCUUUUCCCCAUGUGCUGCCGGAUAGCGACUUGAGGAUUUUGUUGCGGCUCUGUACUUUGGCGAUAAUCGCGGUCGUAUGAGGAGAGAAGGAGCAUAGACUGUCGAAUGUUACACCUAAAAUCUUAGGAUUGUUGACAGUCGGAAUUUUGACGCCGUCGACUGCAAUGUCUAUACUCCUUCGUCCAGUUUGUGAAUAUGGUCGCUGUGGAUUUGGUGGGGGAAAGUGUGAGAUUUCGUGCAGUGAGGAAACGAGACAGGUCGGAGAGGUAGCUGUUUACCUUCGAACACAUGCCAUCGAUUCCAUUGCCCGACGCCAAUAUCGUGCAGUCAUCAGCGUACGAGGUUAUGGAAACUCCUUCUGGUGGUUGUGGGAGUUUUGAGAUGUAGAAGUUAAACAGUAGUGGGGAGAGGACACCACCCUGCGGAACCCCCUGUUUAAUUCUUCUCAGUUUAGAUGUUUUACCUCGAAAUAGUACGGAUGACUGGCGACCGCUCAGAUAGUUCAUGGUCCACCCCUUUAGCCCUGGAGGGAGCGUAGUUGUUUCGAUGUCCUGCAGUAGCAUUGUGUGAUUGACCGUGUCAAAAGCUUUUGACAGGUCCAACGCUACGAGGAUAGUUCUUUCGCAGGAUGGUUUCUGGUUGAGGCCACGAACUAUCUGGACGUUUAUGACGCUAAGUGCUGUGGUGGUGCUGUGCACUUUUCGGAAUCCAUGCUGGUGGCUGGCUAGGCUCAGGUGGUGAGUGAAGGUCGGGAGUAGCAAGGCCUCAAGUGUCUUCACUACUGGGGAGAGGAGAGUUAUCGGUCGAUAAGAUUCCCCUUUGUUGGCGGGUUUCCCAUGUUUCAGUAGUGGGACCACUCUUCCGACUUUCCAGGUAUUUGAAGAGUGGUCAGCGACAGAUUGAGGACCUUGGUGAGAUAUCCUACUCCCGUCGAGCUUAGAUGAUUUAGCAUUAGCAUGUUGAUUCCAUCAGGGCCAAUGGAUUUGGAUGAUUUUGCUUUGUUGAUGACACCCUGAACCACCUCAUCGGUGAAAGUAAGUGGCGCGCCGUCGUUUGGCAUUUUGCGCAGCCGUCGGUAAACACAUCGUUUAGCUUUGUCUACCGAAGGGUGCAGUGUGAACUGCCGGCUAAAAUAGCUCGCGCACUUCUUCGGGUCCGAAGAGGCAUGACCAUUGAAUUGAACUUCAACUCGGUCGUCAUGUCUCUUCGGGUUAGACAGAGCUUUCACAGUAGCCCAAAGCUUACUCACUCCGGUGGAGAGGUUACAGGACUUCAGGUGCUCUAUCCAUUUCGUCCGCUUAUGUUGGUUUACCAUACGCCGAAUCUCCAAAUUGAGAUCCCAUAUUCGGGGAUCCCCGGGAUCGGCAUAGCGUAAGGUGUCGCGCUCAUUAGCUAAAACGGCUGCUUCUGCUGGGAAAUUGGGGCGGAUUUCCGCUAUUCUUCCAGCCGGGAUGAAGCGAGCGGUAGCUGCUGCGAUCACCUUCCGGAAUUGACGUUCGCCAACGCAUACGUCCAUAGGAAUAGGUAGAGCGUUGAAGGUGCUCUCAGUAAAUUCUGUGAAGCCGACCCAUUUAGCUUUGUUAAAGUUAAAGUAGGUGCGGUUGUCCACAGAAACAAAAUCAGGAGGCUUCUCGAUCGAAAUAAUUAUGGGCAGAUGAUCUGAUGCGAGAGUUAGCAUAGAUCGCCAGGUUAUGCUGUUUAUCAGACCACCGCUAGCAAUGGUAAUAUCAGGCGAGCUAUUACAGGUGCCCAUAACUCUGGUGGGGGCUUCGUCAUUCAUUGUGCAGAAUGUCGAAUCGUCAGUCUGUUCCUCCAGCUCCAUCCCCCUACGAUCGUUUGACAGGCAGGUAAGUCAGAGAGGGAGCUAUGUUGCCUGGUUGAGCUCCUGCGGACCGUAGAGUCCUCUGUUGGCCACUCGGAUUGAGUGGCGGCGCGGCGCGCGAACUAUGUGCGGAUUGCACAGCCGUAGAGGCUUGGGUCGCAGUAUUGCGCAGACAACAUGGGGCCACGUAACGCGUGGUCCACUCCCUAUGAGUCUUAAGGCCUGAGCAGGUCUUAAGAUGGCUCCAUUCAUUGCAUGUGUUACACCUGACCGAGGUGGAGUUUGGAUGGAGCCGUUUUGCGCAUACGCAGCAAAAUUCCUCCGGGCCCGGGUUGGACUCAAUGCCAGCGCGAGUCAGGAGGAUACGGAGCAACCCUGCUGCAAGGUAUUGCUCCAGUGACGACAAACACACAUUAACACUUACCGAUCCAAACGGGGUUAGAUCGCCGAAAGAACAGUCCUUGGUCGGAUGAAAUCCGAGUCAAUUCCGGUGCGUAGAACCGGCUGUCGUGGGAAUUGAGUGAUAGAGUGAUGGCUGCUGGUGGUGCUUAGUAAUAUGUCAAAUAUUGAGGUUCGUUCGUUGUGAAAUUACUGCGGCAGUGCUUACUUUGAUGCGACAGUGCAAAAGUCACACACAAACGCAGCAUAACUAUUUGGAAUGCGCGCUAAGAUGAAAGAGGAAUUAAGAAAGCAAUAAAUAUCUAACUGCAUGAAAUUCCUGUAGCCGAGAAUAUAAAGUUGCUAUCCAACAAAGUGAGCAUGAAUUACGGAUACGAAAAGCUCGAGUAAUAUCGAUUUAUUAUGAAAUAUUAAUGUUGACAACAGUACCUCUUUGUAAGGAAAUCAACCCAAGAAGUAUUUGGGCAUACAAGCGACAUGGGAACUUCUGGGAAAAGAAUGCUCCAUCAAUGAACGACCGCGUUUUUAAGGAAACCUUUCGCAUGAGCAGGGCAACCUUUGAAAUAUUGUGUGAAUAUGUCAAAGGUAUUACCAAACAGGAUUCAUGCUAUAGGAAGUGCAUCCCAUUGCAGAAAAGGGUAGCUGUUGCCGUCUACACAUUAAAAUCUUCGGCGGAGUAUGAAACUGUUGCACGACUAUUCGGUGUUUCGAAGGCAAUCGUCAGCGAAAUAUUUCUUGCUUUUUGCCAAGAAGUGUGGCAAUCAUUGCAUCCCAUUUAUUUAACAGAACAAUUAAGGAACAGUGAAAAAGUGGAUGAGUGUGUUCAUGGGUUUGAGAAGCUUGGCUUUCGGCAAUGUCUUGGUGCCAUAGACGGUUGCCACAUUAAAGUUCGGCCACCUGGGAAGGAUUGCACGGACUAUUACAAUAAUAAGGGGUGGUACUCCACAGUUUUAUUUGCCCUUGUAGAUUAUAGAUAUCGCUUUCUCUACAUUGGCUGCCCAGGUCGAUGCAAUGACUCGAAAAAUUUUCAAUGUAGCAAACUAAAUACUGCAUUGAAGGACCCAAUCUUCACUGCAAAAAGCAAAACUAUUAAUGGCGUGAAUGUUCUUGCGGGAGUUAUGGGUGAUUCGGCUUUCCGAUUUGCCAACAAUCUAAUGAAGCCCUAUCUAUUCCAAGUACAUCUUCCAGAGCAUGAAAAAAUUUUUAAUUACCAAUUGUCCAAAUGCCGAAGAGUGGUGGAAAAUCCGUUUGGACACCUAAAGGCUCGUUUUAGGAGAAUAGGGAAAGGAGUCGACAACCACAUCAAAAAUGUUCCUCUUAUAAUUAAAGCAGCCUGUACAUUGCAUAACUUUUUAAAUUGUCAUAAUAAUGUCAUCAACCACAAAUGGAUAGAAGAACAAACCACUUACGAAAGUAGUGUACGCCUGGAACAGCCCGAGCACACAGAUGCUGUAGGAGAUUUUGAAGCAGAACCUGAAACAAUUAGAAGAGCGAUUGCGAAUUCAUUUUGCAAGUUUGUUCUACAUUUACUCCGGAGUCGUCGAAAGUCCUGCAAGCUCAUCGCUUGAAAUGAAUUGGGAUUGGCUGCUCGUCGAAGGGUAGAUAGCAGCGCAACCAAUGUUGUCUUCUGGUUCCACAUCUUCAAUUAAAAUAAAAUAAUAAAUAAAAGAGCAAACAAAAGUUUCAUUUUUAUAUUACCCAUACUCUCUUGCAUGAGUUCUUUGAAAUUUACUGCUUUACUACCACUGAGUAUUUCUUCCACCUCCUUGUAGUGGAUCCAAGAGGAAGGCGAACCACCAGUCAUACCCACCGCAUUCUUUUCUAAUCUGUAAAAUAAAAUACAUAUUAUAAUGCUGUGAGUAUGCAGCAAAAUAUACUUUUUUAAUUUUAAAUGUACUUACUUGUAUCGAUUGGUAAAAUUAUGCACUUUUUCCUUUAUUUCAGCAGCAAUGUAGUUCAUCUGAUUUUUUGAACAUUUCUUUUCCAAACGCGCAAAGAUAUGAAAAUUUUCUUUUCGCGCUUCGUAAUUCUUCUAUACUAUCUGCCCAGUGCAAUAGCAGCAAUUUCUCUGCAUCUACUGUCCAUCUAACACGGUUUUUCCUUUUCCUAAUUACAAUUUAAUAAAAUUAUUAUAUAUAAGUAUAUUUGUAUGCAUAAAAAAUAAAAAUAUAUGAAUUCAAAUUUA